GGGGAUGUAACUCAAUGGUAGAGUAUAUGCUUUGCAAGCAUGAGGUUACCGGUUCAAGUCCGGUCAUCUCCA
This 72-nucleotide transfer RNA is filed under the name Chloropicon sieburthii. RNAcentral describes it as "tRNA-Ala". It matches the Rfam family "tRNA". From Rfam's summary of the family: Transfer RNA (tRNA) molecules are approximately 80 nucleotides in length. Their secondary structure includes four short double-helical elements and three loops (D, anti-codon, and T loops). RNAcentral also lists the same sequence under 1 other name. The record is from RNAcentral. Lineage: Eukaryota; Viridiplantae; Chlorophyta; Chloropicophyceae; Chloropicales; Chloropicaceae.